This 75-nucleotide transfer RNA is filed under the name Nitrospira sp. RNAcentral's name for it is "tRNA-Trp". It matches the Rfam family "tRNA". Rfam says of the family: Transfer RNA (tRNA) molecules are approximately 80 nucleotides in length. Their secondary structure includes four short double-helical elements and three loops (D, anti-codon, and T loops). The record is from RNAcentral. Lineage: Bacteria; Pseudomonadati; Nitrospirota; Nitrospiria; Nitrospirales; Nitrospiraceae.
AGGGGCAUGGUGUCAACGGCAGCACAUCGGUCUCCAAAACCGAGAGUCUAGGGUCAAAUCCUAGUGCCCCUGCCA